GACGAGGCACAGCCAAAUAUUAACAAAGCACUAACAACAUUCUCAGAAGAAGAAAAGACAAGAGUAAAGUUUGAAAUGUAGUGAAGCAAACUUAGACAUUUGACAAACUUUUUCCUCCAGGGACAGCAAAUUUCUGUCCUCCUGAGUACUUUGAGAAGUAUGAGUACAGCGGGAAGCUGUGAGUGCUGCUGUUUAGCACAAUGACCAACCGUUAUCUGUACAGCAGCGAUAUAAAAAUGAUGCGCCGCUGAUGUCUGGAUCGAACCCAGCUUCUCAGAUGAAUGCUGCCGUUUUUUCUUGUGGUUGCCCAAGGAGCAUCCCGGAGCAGAGGGUUCAUCUGGAGGAGAUAGGCUCACAUGACUGGUUCAAGGUAAGUCUACACUAGCUAAAAUGAUUGAUUAUUUAUUUCAAUUUGGUUUAAUCAGAAUCCCUUCUGCAACUGUUAUAUAGGCAAUCCAUAUACACUACACAGAUGUCAAGAUAUAUUUUUAUACCUUGUGAAGUAUGUUUGUGUAUUUUGUAUAAUUUCUAAUUGUGUUUUAGGUCCUGUAGGUCGUGGUGAAGAGGGA
Molecule: long non-coding RNA, 569 nt
Filed under: Carassius auratus (goldfish)
Lineage: Eukaryota; Metazoa; Chordata; Actinopteri; Cypriniformes; Cyprinidae
Description: lncRNA (ENSCARG00000017744.1)
Source: RNAcentral